UACGUAGGUGGCGAGCGUUGUCCGGAUUUACUGGGCGUAAAGAGCGCGCAGGCGGUCGUACAAGUCGCGUGUGAAAGCCCCCGGCUCAACUGGGGAGGGUCACGCGAUACUGUUCGACUCGAAGGCAGGAGAGGGAAGUGGAAUUCCCGGUGUAGUGGUGAAAUGCGUAGAUAUCGGGAGGAACACCAGUGGCGAAGGCGACUCGCUGGACAGACAUUGACGCUGAGGUGCGAAAGCGUGGGGAGCAAACAGG
This 253-nucleotide ribosomal RNA is filed under the name uncultured bacterium. RNAcentral's name for it is "partial 16S ribosomal RNA". It matches the Rfam family "Bacterial small subunit ribosomal RNA", at positions 524 to 776 of the family's 1533-position model. The record is from RNAcentral.